CCUACGGGUGGCAGCAGUGAGGAAUAUUGGGCAAUGGGCGCGAGCCUGAACCAGCCACGUAGCGUGAAGGAUGACUGCCCUACGGGUUGUAAACUUCUUUUAUAAAGGAAUAAAGUUAGGCACGUGUGCCGUUUUGUAUGUACUGUAUGAAUAAGGAUAGGCGAAAUCCGUGCCAGCAACCGCGGGAAUACGGAUGAGCCGAGCGUUAUCCGGAUUUGCUGGGUGUAAAGGGAACGCAGGCGGCACGGCAAGCCUUAUGUGAAAGCCCGCGGCCGAAACGCGGGAUUGCAUUGGUAACUAGCGGGCUGGAGUGCAGGAGAGGUAGGCGGAAUUCCAAGUGUAGCGGUGAAAUGCGUAGAUAUCAGGAGGAACACCAGUGGCGAAGGCGGCUUACUGGACGGUGACUGACGCUGAGGCUCGAAAGCGUGGGGAGCAAACAGGAUUAGAUACCCCAGUAGUC
This 460-nucleotide ribosomal RNA is filed under the name uncultured bacterium. Its description in RNAcentral is "partial 16S ribosomal RNA". It matches the Rfam family "Bacterial small subunit ribosomal RNA", at positions 338 to 795 of the family's 1533-position model. The record is from RNAcentral.